UCGACCAAGGCUUCAUUCCGGGAGCCGCUGCUCAUUUGGUACCUUCUGGCAUUUCACUGGCCCUCCCGACACUUCCCUCAGUGAACCUGACCUCGACUUAACCUCUGCGGCUUAGGGCUCAAGAGUCUCUCAGUGUGUGGUGAUGCUGUCUACAUCCUGAGUUUUAUGGCCUGAAUGGUACUUCCAUCAUGGAGUCAGUUGUGCUAAGGUCUGGGACCUACUAAGGAACUAAAGUCACUGACGAGACAAGACUCUGGACAUGCCUGUGAAAGUUAUCUGUGUUAACUGAGGUGUUAACCAUCUCAUGGGCUUGGAUCUCAGGAUGAAUAACACGGAGGUGGGAUGAGCAUCAGCGUGCUCUGCUUCUUGCUCCUUCCUGCUGCCACCACUUCUCCCCACUGGGAUGAAUGAACCCUAUCUCCUGGGAGCCAAAAUAAAUC
This 440-nucleotide long non-coding RNA is filed under the name Cricetulus griseus (Chinese hamster). RNAcentral describes it as "lncRNA (ENSCGRG00015030960.1)". The record is from RNAcentral. Lineage: Eukaryota; Metazoa; Chordata; Mammalia; Rodentia; Cricetidae.